GGAUUAACAAAUGAACGAACCUGUUGUCCUCUCUUACCCUUCCCCGUUCAUUAUUUUUGCAAACUAGAACAUGCUCUGACUAUUCAUGUCCUCGUGUAACCUCUGCAGAGUUUUUAGGCCAACUUUCCACUGGUGGCCUAAAGACUGGGGACAAGACAGGAAGUGAGAGGCAGACAGAGAGACAGUGAAGGGAAGGGUUACUGCUCGAUAAGUGAUCCAGUGACCUUUGAAAGCCAACCUUGAUGUUCACUUUGCAUGAUUCAUCUGGCCGCACCACAAUGGCAUUGGACGAAGAGCAACAAAACAGAAAGAAAGAGAGAGGGAGAGAGAAACAGCACAGAUUGUACAGACUGUAUUCCAGAAACUAGGACAGUCACUGUCUAGAAAUGUGGACUCAUGUUCCCGAUUCUCGGGAGCCCGCUUAUUUACAGUACAAGCGUAAUCAGUUCAGUACUGCCCACCGGCCGCUUUCACUGUCCUUCUGCUCUCGCUGUUAGCAACCUCUUGUGUUGUUUGACAUCUGCUUUUAUGAACACUGAAGCGCAAGUGAGUUAAGGCUUUGCACCACUGGAAGUCAUGGACACUCGUCUAUUCGAAUAUUGCCAAACGGUCAAACAUUCACCUCCCCAAAGGCACCAGAUAAGCAUAAAUCUGUGGUUAAAAAGUAACCAUAACACAUGCGAUUCGAGAAUGUAAUUUCUGUAAAAAUCACGUGAUAAUGUUGGAAGAGCUGGCGCUGAACUGAAAUGCUGUGGAAUUAAUUGAAUUGUUGAAAUGUUCAACUAUAGCAGGUCAGACUUGAUGUUAGAACGGUCUGAAUUGGUGGACAAAUGUGGAAGGGGAAUGUAAAUGUGUAAAACAUCUGCAUUUAUGUGGUUAUUUUGUAGUCCAAAAUGUGGCAUACUAAAAAAAAUUAAUUUUGGGAAUGUGACAAACAGUUCCAUAGAAGAAGUUUGACGUUAGAAUGGUUUGAAUUGGUCAAGAUAUCUGGAAGGAGGUAAAUAUGUAGAGUAUGUCUUAAUUUGUUAAUUUUGGUGUGAAAAA
This is a long non-coding RNA of Phyllopteryx taeniolatus (common seadragon), 1044 nucleotides long. RefSeq lists it as uncharacterized. The transcript is spliced from 3 exons. The record is from RefSeq and is a predicted model, not a curated record. Lineage: Eukaryota; Metazoa; Chordata; Actinopteri; Syngnathiformes; Syngnathidae.